CUGAUGAUGGUAACGAAGGUAAUCGUGACUAAAGGGAGUUGGAACUGAAGCGGUGAGUAACAGUAGAAUGGAGAGGUCUGGAGGUUAUGUAGUCUGGAGGUCAGGAGGUUAUGUAGUCUAGUCUGGAGGUCAGGAGGUUAUGUAGUCUAGUCUGGAGGUCUGGAGGUUAUGUAGUUAGUCUAUGGUAGUCUGGAGGUCAGGAGGUUAUGUAGUCUAGUCUGUGGUAGUCAGGGGGUUAUGUAGUCUAGUCUAGAGGUCAGGAGGUUAUGUAGUCUAGUCUGUAGGUCUGGAGGUUAUGUAGUCUAGUCUGGAGGUCAGGAGGUUAUGUAGGCUAGUCUGUAGGUCAGGAGGUUAUGUAGUCUAGUCUGUGGUAGUCAAGAGGUUAUGUAGUCGAGUCUGUGGUUGUCUGGAGGUCAGGAGGUUAUGUAGUCUAGUCUGUUGGUCAGGAGGUUAUGUAGUCUAGUCUGGAGGUCAGGAGGUUAUGUAGUCUAGUCUGGAGGUCAGGAGGUUAUGUAGUCUAGUCUGUGGUAGUCAGGAGGUCAGGAGGUUAUGUAGUCUAGUCUGUAGGUCAGGAGGUUAUAGUCUAGUCUAUGUAGUCUGGAGGUCAGGAGGUUACGUAGUCUGGAGGUCAGGAGGUUAUGUAGUCUAGUCUGGAGGUCAG
This 661-nucleotide long non-coding RNA is filed under the name Salmo salar (Atlantic salmon). RNAcentral describes it as "lncRNA (ENSSSAG00000121182.1, ENSSSAG00075019858.1)". Lineage: Eukaryota; Metazoa; Chordata; Actinopteri; Salmoniformes; Salmonidae. The record is from RNAcentral.